CCUACGGGAGGCAGCAGUGAGGAAUAUUGGUCAAUGGACGAGAGUCUGAACCAGCCAAGUAGCGUGAAGGAUGACUGCCCUAUGGGUUGUAAACUUCUUUUAUAUGGGAAUAAAACGUUCCACGUGUGGGAUUUUGUAUGUACCAUAUGAAUAAGGAUCGGCUAACUCCGGGCCAGCAGCCGCGGUAAUACGGAGGAUCCGAGCGUUAACCGGAUUUAUUGGGUUUAAAGGGAGCGUAGGUGGAUUGUUAAGUCAGUUGUGAAAGUUUGCGGCUCAACCGUAAAAUUGCAGUUGAAACUGGCAGUCUUGAGUACAGUAGAGGUGGGCGGAAUUCGUGGUGUAGCGGUGAAAUGCUUAGAUAUCACGAAGAACUCCGAUUGCGAAGGCAGUUCACUGGACUGCAACUGACACUGAGGCUCGAAAGUGUGGGUAUCAAACAGGAUUAGAUACCCCAGUAGUC
Molecule: ribosomal RNA, 460 nt
Filed under: uncultured bacterium
Lineage: Bacteria
Description: partial 16S ribosomal RNA
Rfam family: Bacterial small subunit ribosomal RNA
Source: RNAcentral